AUGCCAGACCAGCUCGUGUGGAAGUGGACCGCGUCGGGCACCUACACCGCCAAAUCUGCCUACAUCGCUUCCUUCCACGGUUCGACGACCUGCAACAACUGGAAGCUCGCAUGGAAGAGUUGGGCACUACCCGGAGUGAAAUUCUUCCUCUGGCUUGUCAGCUUGGAUCGAUGCUGGACGGUGGACCGCCUCGCCCGGCAUGGACUGCAACACCACAACAGCUGCCCCCUUUGCAGCCAGGAGCCUGAAACAUUGCGCCAUCUCCUCCUUGGGUGCCCCUUCUCGAGGCACGUCUGGUUCGAGAUCCUCGCUUGGAUGCGCAUGACUUGCAGGCCCCCGAACAAUGAGGCUACCCUCUUUGAUUGGUGGCAUGAUGCCCGGCAAGUCACGCCCAAGGCGAUGCGCAAAGGGCUGGCAUCCGUGACACUUCUUACAUCCUGGAUGAUCUGGAAGCACCGAAACGAUUGCAUCUUCAACGACGCGCGCCCAUCCAUCCGAACGCUGGUUCACGGCAUCAAGGAGGAGGCCAAACUUUGGGCUGUGGCAGGCGCUGCUGGACUUAGAGUAGUCUUGCCUCCGACCUGGGAUGUGCAUUAG
RNAcentral lists this ribosomal RNA (597 nucleotides) under Triticum aestivum (bread wheat). Its description in RNAcentral is "partial small subunit ribosomal RNA". Lineage: Eukaryota; Viridiplantae; Streptophyta; Magnoliopsida; Poales; Poaceae. The record is from RNAcentral.